Molecule: ribosomal RNA, 2116 nt
Filed under: freshwater metagenome
Description: bacterial LSU rRNA
Rfam family: Bacterial large subunit ribosomal RNA (bases 465-2116)
Source: RNAcentral
UUCCCAGUCACGAUAAUGUAGGCAGAUUAGAAGAUGUUCCAGAAGAUGUAUUAACUAAAUUAGGAAUGAAACGACGUGAUAUGGGAAUAGAUAUAAUAGGAGAAAAAGGGAGUAAAUAUUAUGCGAUACAAUGUAAAUAUAAAAAAUAUUCGGAAAAGAAGACAGUAUUAACAUGGAAAGAGUUAUCAACAUUUUAUGCUUUAUGUUUAAAAACUGGUCCAUGGGAAAAGUAUAUAGUAAUGACAAAUUGUGAUUAUACAAGACAGGCAGUAAGAACAGAAAAAGAUUUAAUAAUAUGUAAAAAACAAUUUCAAAAUAUAACAAAAGAGCAAUGGUUAAAAAUGUGUAAUUUAGAAGGAAAAAAUUUAAAUGAACCAAAAAUUGAAAUACCAAAGGAAGAUGCUUUUGAGCUUAUGGCAAGAAAUGUGGUAACACUUUGUAGGAUGGAAGGCGAUAAGAAGUUGAAUCAAAUUGAUUCGAAGGUGUUGAGGGAAGAGGUGAAUAAGAGACGCCGAGUGGCAAGACCUUCGGUUUAUCAGGCCGACACCCCUAAUUUGGAUCCGGUUUCUGGUUUGGCAAGUGCUAUUCAGAUUAUUUCUGAUCAGAAGCGAGAAUGUUGACAUGAGUAGCGACAAACAGGGUGAGAGACCCUGUCGCCGAAAGUCCAAGGGUUCCUGCUUAAAGCUAAUCUGAGCAGGGUAAGCCGGCCCCUAAGGCGAGGCCGAAAGGCGUAGUCGAUGGGAACCAGGUUAAUAUUCCUGGGCCAGGAGGAUGUGACGGAUCUCGGGUGUAGUUCAGGCUUAUCGGAUUGUCUGGGCUGCUGAGAGGUUCCUGGAAAUAGCCCUCCAUCAGACCGUACCCUAAACCGACACAGGUGGACUGGUAGAGUAUACCAAGGCGCUUGAGAGAACCACGUUAAAGGAACUCGGCAAAAUGCCUCCGUAAGUUCGCGAGAAGGAGGCCCCGUCUGUAGGCAACUAUGGGCGGGGGGCACAAACUAGGGGGUGGCGACUGUUUACUUAAAACACAGGGCUCUGCGAAGCCGUAAGGCGACGUAUAGGGUCUGACGCCUGCCCGGUGCUGGAAGGUUAAAAGGAGGGGUGCAAGCUCCGAAUUGAAGCCCCAGUAAACGGCGGCCGUAACUAUAACGGUCCUAAGGUAGCGAAAUUCCUUGUCGGGUAAGUUCCGACCUGCACGAAUGGCGUAACGAUCUCCCCGCUGUCUCUAACGUGGACUCAGCGAAAUUGAACUGUGUGUCAAGAUGCACACUACCCGCGGUUAGACGGAAAGACCCCAUGAACCUUUACUCCAGCUUUGCACUGGCAUCAGGAUUGUGAUGUGCAGGAUAGGUGGUAGGCUUCGAAGCAGGGACGCCAGUCUCUGUGGAGCCUCCCUUGAGAUACCACCCUUCGCACUCUUGAUGUCUAACCGCGGCCCGUCAUCCGGGUCCGGGACCAUGCAUGGUGGGGAGUUUGACUGGGGCGGUCGCCUCCCAAACAGUAACGGAGGCGCGCGAAGGUUGGCUCAGAGCGGUCGGAAAUCGCUCGUUGAGUGCAAUGGCAGAAGCCAGCCUGACUGCAAGACUGACAAGUCGAGCAGAGACGAAAGUCGGCCAUAGUGAUCCGGUGGUCCCAAGUGGGAGGGCCAUCGCUCAACGGAUAAAAGGUACUCUGGGGAUAACAGGCUGAUGAUGCCCAAGAGUCCAUAUCGACGGCAUCGUUUGGCACCUCGAUGUCGGCUCAUCUCAUCCUGGGGCUGGAGCAGGUCCCAAGGGUAUGGCUGUUCGCCAUUUAAAGAGGUACGUGAGCUGGGUUUAGAACGUCGUGAGACAGUUCGGUCCCUAUCUGCCGUGGGUGUAGGAGACUUGAGAAGAGUUGCCCCUAGUACGAGAGGACCGGGGUGAACGUUCCACUGGUGGACCAGUUGUCGUGCCAACGGCAGUGCUGGGUAGCUAUGAACGGACAGGAUAACCGCUGAAGGCAUCUAAGCGGGAAGCCCCCUUCAAAACAAGGUCUCCCUUGAGGGCCGUGGAAGACCACCACGUCGAUAGGCCGGAGGUGUAAGUGCAGCAAUGCAUUCAGCUGACCGGUACUAAUUGCCCGAUAGGCUUGAUUUG